Molecule: transfer RNA, 70 nt
Filed under: Chiasmodon niger (black swallower)
Lineage: Eukaryota; Metazoa; Chordata; Actinopteri; Scombriformes; Chiasmodontidae
Also listed under: 2 other names
Description: tRNA-Pro
Rfam family: tRNA
About the family: Transfer RNA (tRNA) molecules are approximately 80 nucleotides in length.
Source: RNAcentral
CAAAGAAUAGUUUAGCUUAGAAUCUUAGCUUUGGGAGUUAAGGGUAGGAGUUAAAAUCUCCUUUCUUUGA